RNAcentral lists this long non-coding RNA (361 nucleotides) under Elaeis guineensis (African oil palm). Its description in RNAcentral is "long non-coding RNA (EGUI_LNC044747)". Lineage: Eukaryota; Viridiplantae; Streptophyta; Magnoliopsida; Arecales; Arecaceae. The record is from RNAcentral.
CCCAGGUAUCAUCAAAAGUCCAAGUGCAUCGAGUGGCGAUAUUGAAGAAAAAAUUUGAGUCAAAUCGGAUGGCCAGGAGAAGGAGAAUAGAUUUCAUAUUUAAAAAUUUUUUCAUAACUCUUAUAAAAGUUAUCUUGAUGCAUAGCGGAAUCAAGAUCAAUGUUGUUGGAUUCCAGAAAUCAGUUGCUUCACAAGAUCUGGAUGUGCAGAUCCUCUACUUUGCAUGCAUGUCAAGCAAUGCAGGAGAGAGGGAUGAAGACUUGGGGCACUUCUUCAGAAAGAAAGGAGAGGAGAGCUUUAAGAUUUAAUCUCAACGGCUUGGAAGGAUUCCACACACCACCAUAAGGGAGACACCACACCC